This 405-nucleotide ribosomal RNA is filed under the name Aquamicrobium sp. Its description in RNAcentral is "bacterial SSU rRNA". It matches the Rfam family "Bacterial small subunit ribosomal RNA", at positions 355 to 777 of the family's 1533-position model. The record is from RNAcentral. Lineage: Bacteria; Pseudomonadati; Pseudomonadota; Alphaproteobacteria; Hyphomicrobiales; Phyllobacteriaceae.
UGGGGAAUUUUGGACAAUGGGCGAAAGCCUGAUCCAGCCAUGCCGCGUGAGUGAAGAAGGCCCUAGGGUUGUAAAGCUCUUUCAACGGUGAAGAUAAUGACGGUAACCGUAGAAGAAGCCCCGGCUAACUUCGUGCCAGCAGCCGCGGUAAUACGAAGGGGGCUAGCGUUGUUCGGAAUUACUGGGCGUAAAGCGCACGUAGGCGGAUUGGCAAGUUAGGGGUGAAAUCCCGGGGCUCAACCCCGGAACUGCCUUUAAAACUGCCGGUCUAGAGUUCGAGAGAGGUGAGUGGAAUUCCGAGUGUAGAGGUGAAAUUCGUAGAUAUUCGGAGGAACACCAGUGGCGAAGGCGGCUCACUGGCUCGAUACUGACGCUGAGGUGCGAAAGCGUGGGGAGCAAACAGGA